UCCGAAUCCAAUAAAGAUUCC
Molecule: non-coding RNA, 21 nt
Filed under: Caenorhabditis elegans
Lineage: Eukaryota; Metazoa; Nematoda; Chromadorea; Rhabditida; Rhabditidae
Source: RNAcentral